Stylophora pistillata is the source of this 469-nucleotide long non-coding RNA. RefSeq lists it as uncharacterized. Lineage: Eukaryota; Metazoa; Cnidaria; Anthozoa; Scleractinia; Pocilloporidae. The record is from RefSeq and is a predicted model, not a curated record.
AAAUUCGAAAAGAGAAACACCAAUCAGUUGCUGAGAUUGACCAGGUUUGCAGUGCAGCUCGUCCUCUCUACAACCACGUUUCGCAGAAAUGAAGAAAGGUACCUUUGUCUUAUCGUUCACCGUUUUCAUUUUGUUGGCUUCCUUCACUGUCCAAGUGAGAGGAAUUUCUGCCGGAUUGCCAAGGCCUGGCGGAAUACCGCCCAAGGGAAAAAGGCAAAACUCUUUUGAGACAGAUGCCGAGGAGUCCAGCAAAAGAGCUGUCGUUAUAGACUACUGUACAAAAUGCAGUCGUACUUGCGGCGGAUCACUCAAAUAAUAUUUAUGGAGAAGAGCUAUACCCGCGAGAAGUUAACUACCGAAAGCCCACUUUCAGGAUAAGAAUGAUCAUGAUAAUUAUUUAUGACUAUACCAACUGAUUUAAAUCGUGAUGUUAAAAAUAAACAAAAAUAAUAAUGAUCAUGAAGAUUCA